CGGGCUGUAGCAUAGUGGCAGUGUGCACGAUUCGGGUUCGUGUGGUGGGAGUUCGAUUCUCCCCAGCCCGA
This 71-nucleotide transfer RNA is filed under the name Patescibacteria group bacterium. RNAcentral describes it as "tRNA-Pro". It matches the Rfam family "tRNA". Rfam says of the family: Transfer RNA (tRNA) molecules are approximately 80 nucleotides in length. Their secondary structure includes four short double-helical elements and three loops (D, anti-codon, and T loops). The record is from RNAcentral.